GUGAGUCAUCGAAUCUUUGAACGCACAUUGCGCCCGCCAGCAUUCUGGCGGGCAUGCCUGUCCGAGCGUCAUUUCAACCCUCGAGCCCCGGCGGGCUCGGUGUUGGGGACCGGCCCCGGCCGCCCCCCAAAUGCAGUGGCGACCUCGCCGCAGCCUCCCCUGCGCAGUAGCACAACCUCGCACCGGAGCGCGGAGACGGUCACGCCGUGAAACGCCCAACUUCUCAGAGUUGACCUCGGAUCAGGUAGGAAUACCCGCUGAACUUAAGCAUAUCAAUAAGCGGAGGA
This 287-nucleotide unclassified non-coding RNA is filed under the name Tolypocladium sp. RNAcentral describes it as "partial contains 5.8S ribosomal RNA, internal transcribed spacer 2, and large subunit ribosomal RNA". The stretch from base 1 to 71 matches the Rfam family "5.8S ribosomal RNA", at positions 84 to 154 of the family's 154-position model. The record is from RNAcentral. Lineage: Eukaryota; Fungi; Ascomycota; Sordariomycetes; Hypocreales; Ophiocordycipitaceae.